This 367-nucleotide ribosomal RNA is filed under the name uncultured prokaryote. RNAcentral describes it as "partial 16S ribosomal RNA". The record is from RNAcentral.
CCCUACGGGGCGCGAGGACACUUUCCCCACGAGAGUCGGGAGUCCCAAUGCCUUCGACUGACUCACUGCCCAGUGUGCGAAGUCUGCUAACCCGGUUUCCCCCGAGCCGUCUGCUGCUCUGGUCAGAUGUCCGGCAUCGUCCGCGACAAAGAGUUCUGCCUGGCCCGCUCCGACGCUCCCCGCGACCUCAGAGGAGAGGAUCGCCGCCACUUCAUCCACUGAUAGCUCUGAUACAAGGUGAGCGCUGAAUUUGUUGAGGAGAGAAGUCUCGUGUUCGCGAGCGAGAGCCAUUCCCUCCCUCUCACGGAUCUUUCCGGUCUGCAGACCCAUGAUUAUCCCUACAAUCAGAAAGACAAAGAGGGAGAGC